GCUCUAUUGUGACGUCACAGUGCUCCAAUGUGAUAUCAGAGUGCUCCAUUGUGCUAUCACAGUACUCCAUUGUGUCAUCAUAAUGAUCGAUUGUGACUUCACAGUG
MicroRNA precursor from Microtus ochrogaster (prairie vole), 106 nucleotides. The record is from Ensembl. NCBI's taxonomy places the organism in Eukaryota, Metazoa, Chordata, Mammalia, Rodentia, Cricetidae.